This 92-nucleotide non-coding RNA is filed under the name Acetomicrobium hydrogeniformans. RNAcentral describes it as "Glycine riboswitch". It matches the Rfam family "Glycine riboswitch aptamer", at positions 7 to 90 of the family's 94-position model. Rfam says of the family: This family represents the bacterial glycine riboswitch. Lineage: Bacteria; Thermotogati; Synergistota; Synergistia; Synergistales; Acetomicrobiaceae. The record is from RNAcentral.
ACCGCAAGAGAUAUCUCGCUUGAAGGAAAGCGAGGAGCCGAAGGUGCAAGGGCAGCGAUGCCCCAAUCUCUCAGGCAAAAGGAUUGCGGUGU